RNAcentral lists this small RNA (2109 nucleotides) under Pan troglodytes (chimpanzee). Its description in RNAcentral is "processed transcript". Lineage: Eukaryota; Metazoa; Chordata; Mammalia; Primates; Hominidae. The record is from RNAcentral.
AUGGGCGAAGGGCGUCAGCAGCGGCGGGCUCCGGUCGGGAAGCUCCUUCUGCUCCCCGGGAGGAGAGAUACACCCCAUGGGCGGUCAGGCAGCAGCGGCGCCAGGACGCAGCGCUCCCUGCUCUGGCUCUUGGUGCACGUGUGGCUGUGGGCGGCCUCGGGCUCCUCUGCCCAGUUGUUCAACCUCACCCUUUCCGUAGAUGAGGGGCUUCCCCCGGACACGCUGGUAGGUGACAUCCGCGCCGGGCUGCCGGCCGCGCAGCAGCAGGAGGGGAGCGGCUUCUUUCUGUCGGAGGACUCCGAUGACUCCCCGCUGCUGGACGACUUCCACGUGCACCCGGACACCGGCAUCAUCCGCACUGCGCGGCGCCUGGACCGCGAGCGGCGGGACCACUACAGCUUCGUCGCCGCCACGCUGCUGGGCGCUGUGGUGCAGGUGGAGAUUCGCGUCAACGACGUGAAUGACCACUCGCCCCGCUUUCCCCUCGACUCCCUGCAACUCGACGUCUCCGAGCUCAGCCCGCCAGGGACCGCCUUCCGCCUGCCAGGUGCCCACGAUCCCGACGCCGGACUGUUCAGCACUCAGGGCUACACCCUGGUGCAACCGUCCGACCUGCCCAAGGACCCCGCAGGCCCGUUCUUCCAGUUGCGCUACCGGACUCCGGGGCCACUACCGUCACCGCUUUUGCCAGGCUCCUCGUCACCCCUGGAGCCUCUAGAUCUGGUGCUGCUGCGGCGCUUGGACCGAGAGGAGGCGGCGGCGCACCGGCUGCAGAUCGAGGCAUGGGACGGCGGCCGACCCCGGCGCACCGGCCUCCUGAGCGUGGAGCUGCGCGUGCUGGAUGAGAACGACAACCCGCCGGUCUUUGAGCAGGACGAGUACCGCGCCGCGGUGCGCGAGGACGCCCAGCCGGGCGCCGAGGUCUGUCGCGUGCGCGCCACCGACCGCGACCUGGGGCCCAAUGGCUUCGUGCGCUACAGCGUCCGCGCCCGGCAAGUGCCUGGGGCGGGUAGCGGCGGCGGGGCACUGGGCGACGCGGCCUACUUCGCGGUGGAGGAGCUGAGCGGCGUGGUGCGAGUGCGGAGACCUCUGGACCGCGAGGCACAGGCCUGGCACCAGUUGGUGGUGGAGGCCCGCGAUGGAGGCGCCGAGCCUGAGGUUGCCACGGUGCGCGUGUCCAUCGCCGUGCUGGACGUGAAUGACAACCGGCCAGCAAUUCACGUGCUCUUUCUCACAGAGGGAGGCGUCGCCCGUGUCUCUGAAGGCGCCCGACCGGGCGACUACGUGGCUCGCGUCUCGGUGUCUGACGCGGACGGUGACUGGGAGAAGGAAGAUGAGGCCACAGGGGAGCUUGGUGUGGGUCUUGGAGACGGGAGCAUCUCGCUGUCCUUGGAAGGCGGAGAGGGAGACUUCGCGUUGCUGCCCGGCGGCCCCCCAGGGGUAUUUUUCCUUUGCGUGGAGGGGCCCCUGGACAGAGAGAGCCGCGAUCUGUAUGAGUUACUACUGGUGGCCACGGACGCGGGGUCCCCGCCGCUGAGCACGGAGGAGACGCUGCUACUCCGGGUCGCUGACCUCAAUGACCAACCACCUCUCUUCAGCCAACAGCAUUACAAGGCCUCAGUGUCCGAGGCCGCGGCCCCUGGCACUGUAGUCAUGUGGGUCAGCGCCUCCGAUGCCGACGAGGCAGGCAGUGAUCACGCCUGGCUGCGCUACACUGUAGUCCAACUCUCGGCUCCCUGCAAUCUCGGCUCCCUGCAAUCAAAGAUGGUCCACACCGCAGAGUGUGGACCAUCUUUUGCCAUUGAUUCCGAAAGCGGUGCGAUCAGCACUAUCCGGACUCUAGACCGAGAGGUCCAGGAGGCGGUGGAGCUGAAAGUGGUGGCCCAGGACCUCGGAGAGCCCCCACUCUCUGCCACCUGCCUGGUGAGCAUCACCGUAGAUGAUGUGAAUGACAAUGAGCCCAUCUUCUGGAGGCAGGUGUACAAUGCCACCAUUGCAGAGCAUGCCCCGGUUGGACACUGCUUUCUGCAGCUUAUAUCUGCUCAAGUUGCCUUUGUCAAAAUCAAACAAAAACAAAAGGAAAUACAGGAAAAACAAAAUCUUGCCUAG